This 323-nucleotide ribosomal RNA is filed under the name uncultured eukaryote. RNAcentral describes it as "partial 18S ribosomal RNA". It matches the Rfam family "Eukaryotic small subunit ribosomal RNA", at positions 1470 to 1796 of the family's 1831-position model. The record is from RNAcentral.
CCCUUAGAUGUCCUGGGCCGCACGCGCGCUACACUGAUGCAUUCAACGAGUUUCCUUGGCCGAGAGGCCUGGGCAAUCUUUUAAACGUGCAUCGUGAUAGGGAUAGAUUAUUGCAAUUAUUAAUCUUGAACGAGGAAUUCCUAGUAAACGCAAAUCAUCAAUUUGCAUUGAUUACGUCCCUGCCCUUUGUACACACCGCCCGUCGCACCUACCGAUUGAAUGGUCCGGUGAGGCCUCGGGAUUGUGACUAGUUCACUUCAUUGUGGAUUGGUUGCGAGAACUUGUCCAAACCUUAUCAUUUAGAGGAAGGUGAAGUCGUAACA